This 236-nucleotide unclassified non-coding RNA is filed under the name Hevea brasiliensis (rubber tree). The record is from RNAcentral. Lineage: Eukaryota; Viridiplantae; Streptophyta; Magnoliopsida; Malpighiales; Euphorbiaceae.
GAAAAUGGCACCUUCUCAGUCCCAAGUGACAGAGAUCAUUGAAUUGGCAAGCCCUGAUUCUUCAAAUGAUAUUUGGGUAUCAUAGUCCAGAGACUUUGUAGCUCCUGGUAUUGCAUGUGUCAAUUUGAAUGGUUUUGUCUCACCAUCCUCUAACUGAGAAGAACAGAAAGACCAAAGCAACUGGAUUGGAUCGGUUCGGAGGAAAUUCCUUUGGCAUCUACGUCCAUUAGGAAGAC